This 2472-nucleotide long non-coding RNA is filed under the name Arabidopsis thaliana (thale cress). Its description in RNAcentral is "potential natural antisense gene, locus overlaps with AT5G18240 (AT5G18245)". Lineage: Eukaryota; Viridiplantae; Streptophyta; Magnoliopsida; Brassicales; Brassicaceae. The record is from RNAcentral.
GUCCUCUUGCCCGAAUUCGGAUAAAACCAGUUUAACCCGACCCAGAUCUAUGCGAACCGACCCGGUUUGAAAAAAGGCGUCGGACAAUCCCCAAUCUCUCGUCGUUCGACGGGGCCAUUCGUUUCUCACUUUCCGGUUUUUCUUCGAUUUGCAACGUUGUGAAUGCUUACACAUCUAUGGGUAUGUUCUUGCUUUGUUAAAAAGCACGGAGCUUUACGUCCUUCUCUCAAGAAUUUCAGUAUCUUCCAUGAAGUUAGUAAAUUUAUCUGUAUUUAUAUGAUGAGAUCAUAACUACGCAAAUUAAUAGUGUUGUACAUUGUUGCACAAGAUGUCUCUUUUGAGUUCGACUAAUAAUUCAAUUUUUAGACGAAUCCCUCAAGCUAACAAAGGAAAUCAAAGGCUUUUCAUUUCCUGUGUGAUUAUCAUAAAAAGGACUUCUUCUUGAAGACGAGAUUCUCGGUUCUGCGUUGUUAACCAUUGUUGAAAGAUAUGGCCUGUUGUGAUUCUCUCUGAGGCUUUCUUCUUCUGCCCAUGUGAGCUCCAUUCUAUGGAAGAAUGGCUCUUCCAUUAUCUCUUUCUGCUCUGAAGUUGAAUCUCCAAUAUAUGUUCUUAAUCCCAGUCUGUUGUCAAGCAUCUUUGGGGCUUUCUGAGUUCCUUCACUUGAGGUUAGGCAACUGUCCAGGGAGGAGUUAGGUGGAUACGUUUUUUGCAUCUGUUGAUGGUGUAGAUUCUGCAGUUCUUUCGGUUCGAGGAAACUAGAGUCUGGAUAGUCUGCUGAUACUUUAGAUACUAAUUCUGAGAGUUGAGCUUUUGUUGCUUCAAUCCCAGCUGCACCUAGGUUCUGUCUUCCAAGAGUCUCUUGUGCUUUCUCCAGAAUCGAUUGCAGAGUACAGUAUAUGAUAGAUACCUCAAGUUGCUCGUGUAGCCGUCUCUGGACCUCUAUUUGCAUUUGAAGGGCAUCACUUAUGGGGGGGUUUUCUUCUACCAUGGUCAUCACACCUAAACCAGGUUGCUUUUAGUUUACUUGAAGGAAAAUAGUAUGAAAAAAGAAUGAAUCUUUAGAUUAAAAUAUUUUUGUAUCUGAGUAAUGAAUAACUAAGCUUACUUGUCUUGUUUAAACUGCUGUUAGCUUGUCCAUUAAGAUUCUUGCUUAGCCUAUAUUUCUGGUAGUCAAAUCAUGAUAUUAAUAAUCUUUGUAAAACAAAAAACAGAUAUUACAGAUUUUUCAUAUCUUGACAUAUCGUCAUUUUUGUGCUACUUUAAUAGUUUUCUACCAAUCGAAUUGAUGAACGAGUCAUGUAAGUUUAGGGCCUUGGGCAUAUGACUGUAUAAAGUGUUGAUGGAUUACCUGAAGAUGACUCUUGAGAUGGUAUAAGGUAAGGCCUGGAAUGCCCAUGACUUUCAUGAUUGUCUUAGGAGUAGCCUCUGCGCAGACAAAAGUAUACACAUUAAUACAUUAUGUUCAAAAAGCCUGAUUGUAAAAGAUGGUUCAUUUGCUUAUAAGAUAACUUACUAUCUCCUCCUCCAAGCUGGUUGACCGCUUCAACAAAUCUCUCGUGAAGAUCUGGAGUCCAUUUUAGUCGUGGCUUUGCAUCAGUGGAGAGAAUGAGUCCAGAAUCUCCUGUGCCAUUUCCUCUGAGGAACGGAUGCCUUUCAGAAGAAAUGGGCAUUCUCGAUGAAGAGAGGAUGCUCUUUCCUUGGUGCUGGUUGUGGUAAUACAUAAGUCUGUCUUCAAAAUAAAAAGGCCGGGGUCUCUCAAGAGUAAAAAGUCUUUGCAACUUUGCUUUAUAUAGAAAGUUGAAUGGCAAAAAGGCAAAUUAGAGGAUGAUAACUAAGGGGAAUUCAUUCUUUUUCCUUAUUCCUCAAUUUUUUCAAAGUCCACAGCUCCAACCUCUCUAUCUCUUGAGGGAGCAUAAUUCAACACGUGGGAUUGUGAUUCGCUUGAUUGAAUGAGAGAGGAUUGGAUACAUAAAACAGGAGGAAGCGGGAAAUGACCGCGGAAUUAUAUUCGUUUGGAGAGAAAAUGGAGGGUAAUAAGUGGGUUCGUUCAUGAGAUUCUAGAGAAUGAGAAUAUGAGAAUCCAAAACUAAAGAAAGCUUGGUGAGUCGCAUUCUCAACUCAAGAAUCUUUUUUGUUCAUCACAACCCGAACCCAAAAAAAAAAAGAGACUAUUCGGGUCUAUUUCUUUCCCCUUUUACUUAGUCUCGAUUUUUGUGGAUAUUUUAAUGAAUUGUGAUUCUUAUAAGCACAACAAAAGAUUAGGAGAAUCAUUGUAGGAGUUUUGUGUUCACCACAAGGCAGUGUUGUCUGCAUCCAACCGAAUCAUGUAGCAGUUUUGUUAUAUUGGUUUGAAUAUUAUGAAACUAUAAAAAAUCGAGGGCACUGCGACUGGACGCAAACGCAAAUGCUGGCUAAAUUAUUCGACAAGUCGGAUCAUUAUAAAGAGUUGAUUGUCUAGUUGCAAGUAGUUGG